Molecule: ribosomal RNA, 682 nt
Filed under: Secundilactobacillus similis
Lineage: Bacteria; Bacillati; Bacillota; Bacilli; Lactobacillales; Lactobacillaceae
Description: bacterial SSU rRNA
Rfam family: Bacterial small subunit ribosomal RNA
Source: RNAcentral
GCAGUCGAACGCAUCCCGUUGAAUUGAAGUGCUUGCACUGAUUUUUAACAUCGGAUGAGUGGCGAACUGGUGAGUAACACGUGGGUAACCUGCCCAGAAGCGGGGGAUAACACUUGGAAACAGGUGCUAAUACCGCAUAACAACAGAAACCGCAUGGUUUCUGUUUGAAAGAUGGUUUCGGCUAUCACUUCUGGAUGGACCCGCGGCGUAUUAGCUAGUUGGUGGAGUAAUGGUUCACCAAGGCAAUGAUACGUAGCCGACCUGAGAGGGUAAUCGGCCACAUUGGGACUGAGACACGGCCCAAACUCCUACGGGAGGCAGCAGUAGGGAAUCUUCCACAAUGGACGAAAGUCUGAUGGAGCAACGCCGCGUGAGUGAAGAAGGGUUUCGGCUCGUAAAACUCUGUUGUUGAAGAAGAACACACCUGAGAGUAACUGUUCAGGUGUUGACGGUAUUUAACCAGAAAGCCACGGCUAACUACGUGCCAGCAGCCGCGGUAAUACGUAGGUGGCAAGCGUUGUCCGGAUUUAUUGGGCGUAAAGCGAGCGCAGGCGGUUUCUUAAGUCUGAUGUGAAAGCCUUCGGCUUAACCGGAGAAGUGCAUCGGAAACUGGGAGACUUGAGUGCAGAAGAGGACAGUGGAACUCCAUGUGUAGCGGUGAAAUGCGUAGAUAUAUGGAAGA